This 1143-nucleotide ribosomal RNA is filed under the name uncultured bacterium. RNAcentral describes it as "bacterial SSU rRNA". The stretch from base 1 to 814 matches the Rfam family "Bacterial small subunit ribosomal RNA". The record is from RNAcentral.
UUUGAUCCUGGCUCAGAUUGAACGCUGGCGGCAGGCCUAACACAUGCAAGUCGAGCGGUAGAGAGAAGCUUGCUUCUCUUGAGAGCGGCGGACGGGUGAGUAAUGCCUAGGAAUCUGCCUGGUAGUGGGGGAUAACGUUCGGAAACGGACGCUAAUACCGCAUACGUCCUACGGGAGAAAGCAGGGGACCUUCGGGCCUUGCGCUAUCAGAUGAGCCUAGGUCGGAUUAGCUAGUUGGUGAGGUAAUGGCUCACCAAGGCUACGAUCCGUAACUGGUCUGAGAGGAUGAUCAGUCACACUGGAACUGAGACACGGUCCAGACUCCUACGGGAGGCAGCAGUGGGGAAUAUUGGACAAUGGGCGAAAGCCUGAUCCAGCCAUGCCGCGUGUGUGAAGAAGGUCUUCGGAUUGUAAAGCACUUUAAGUUGGGAGGAAGGGUUGUAGAUUAAUACUCUGCAAUUUUGACGUUACCGACAGAAUAAGCACCUGCUAACUCUGUGCCAGCAGCCGCGGUAAUACAGAGGGUGCUCGCUUUAAUCGGAAUUACUGGGAGUAUAGCGCGCGUAGGUGGUGUGUAAACCAGGGUGUAAACCCCCGGGGGCAGCCCCUGGGAAUUUUUUUUAAAUUUGAAUGUUUGGGGGUGGGACACCCGGGGGGGAAAUUUUCAGGGGUUAUGUGAACCACUAGAUUUCAGGGCCCCCACCGGUGAGAUGACAUAUUUCAGGUGGUGUACAGCGGGUGAUCUACUCGUGUUUGCUGCAGAAGUUUUAACACCUCGGUGUGAGUAUCCACCCAGGAGACGAUCUUCACCAGCUGGUCGUCCCUUCAUGAUCUUCACACUGUCGCACGCUAACACAUUAAAUUCCACCGCCCUGCGACUUACGUCAGCAGUUUAAUUCUAGAUUGCAUUGCAGGGGCACGCCCGAGCUUUCGCAUCUGUGUUUAAUACGAUGCUGAACGCGAUUACCUUACAAGACUGAAAUCCAUGACCUUUCUAGAGGUACACUCGCUGCUUCAGACAUGAACCGUGUCUUAUUGCUGCUCCGCUAUGUCAGAAUGUAGUCUAAUCUGUCACGACGAUCUGUCUCAAUAACACUACAUGGUCGCGACCGUUUAGGUACGUUGCCGUUCUACUACCCCAUG